AUGUCCUGGAACAUCCGGGGCUUGAACUGCCCAGCUCGUCGCUCGGCAAUCCGCGAAGUAGUGCAAGCACAUAGAGUUUUGGUACUUUGUCUCCAGGGAACUAAAGUAGAAUCGUGGUCAUCGUCGCUAGCAUGUGAGGUAGGAGGCCCAAAUCUGCAGGGCUACAUUGUGUUACCGGCAAUAGGCACGAGAGGUGGCGCGGCGAUCUUCUGGGACAAGCUAGUUGUCAACAUCACCUCACAUAGGAUAGGUUGAUUCGCGAUCACGACUAGAAUAGAUCUUCUCUCCAGUAGUGUAGGAUUCUGGCUUACCACA
Molecule: ribosomal RNA, 315 nt
Filed under: Triticum aestivum (bread wheat)
Lineage: Eukaryota; Viridiplantae; Streptophyta; Magnoliopsida; Poales; Poaceae
Description: partial small subunit ribosomal RNA
Source: RNAcentral